Poecilia latipinna (sailfin molly) is the source of this 1103-nucleotide long non-coding RNA. RefSeq lists it as uncharacterized. The transcript has 2 exons. The record is from RefSeq and is a predicted model, not a curated record. NCBI's taxonomy places the organism in Eukaryota, Metazoa, Chordata, Actinopteri, Cyprinodontiformes, Poeciliidae.
AAUCUAAAAUAAUUGUUGUCUUUCAUUGAGUUUAACAUUCUGUUUCAAAUUUUGGUAUAAAUAUAAAGCUGUGAUAUUUUUACUCAAGGAAGUUUUUAUACCAAUCCAACAGUGGUGUUCCUAAGAGGUGGCCAAGAGGGGGGCAGCAACCCGGAGAAAAUUGACAACCGCUAAGCAGGACCGAUGUGUCAAGAUGAAAUGGGACUGAGCCGAGCUGCUUCUCUGAGCACAUCGGCUUACGUGGCUGUUAUGAGGAGGAGUGACGGCGCUGAAGUCUGCGCCGCAAGCGUGGACAGCUGGGCAGGGACGCGGCGGCCUGCGACGCCCUGAUAAGCACUUAUCAAGAUGAACAGAGGAGGAGGCUGGGAAUUACAAGCAGCGCAGCCGCAGGCCCACAGGACCCUGCAGCCUCGGCCUGGUCGUGCUGUGCAAGUUGGACUCACAGUGAGAGUGGCACAUGUGCAGCGUGGCCCAUCAGAUGUCAGUGUUUCCUGCUUGCGCUCUGAAGUGACACUAUAGUGUGAAGUACAGGACAGUUGGAGGGGGGAACGGUUUGAGCCGGUCGUAACCCGGAUGGCGUCUUGUGUCACCACUGGACUUUGAUGGCAGCCUUCAAAUUCCCAAGAAACGGGCUUCUGUGAAGGCGGUGGUCUUAUCUCUUUGGUGCAGAGCUGCAGCAGCAAUGCUAUACCCAGGAGAGCUCCCUCUCUCUGUGUUUCUCUCUCUCUCUCUCUCUCACACACACACACACACACCCACUCACUAACACACAAAAACUGUCCUCACCAUCACCAAACACUUUCAGAGAUGAGUUGCCUCCUCCAUGCUGAUCUUGGCAUGUGAGGUGACGUUUUUAGCAGCAGAGGAGCGUGAAAGUGUUGCUCUGACUAAUAAAGUUAGCUUGUCACUUAGCUAUCGUAACUCUUUCCACUGUUGAGUUCAUGUAAUACACAGAUGUGUAAAGUGAAACUAUUACCACUUGUAGCUUUUCCCCCCUAAAUGUUCAUGUUGUUUGGAGUUAGUUUUUGUUCCUGUAAAGAUCUCGUGAGCAUUGUUGUUGUUGUUGUUGCACAGAUGCUGAUAAAAUGUUGUUUUUUUUCCUC